GAUGAACGCUGGCGGCGUGCCUAAUACAUGCAAGUCGAGCGGACGGACGAGGAGCUUGCUUCUCUGAUGUUAGCGGCGGACGGGUGAGUAACGUGUGGAAACCGCCCUUAAAUGAGGGGUAAAUUUUGGGAAAACGGGAGAAAACACGGGAGAAGAUUUUGAACCGCGGGGUUCAAAGGAAAAUGACGGCGUUGCGGUAUCUAUUCGAGGGUUCUCCGCUGCUUGAGCUGGUUGGGAAGUUACAGGCUUACCAAGGGAAGGAUGCAUAGCCGACCGCAGGGGGUGGUAGGCCACCUUGGAAGGGGGACAGCGACCUGAGUCCUACGGGAGGCAGCAGUAGGGAAUCUUCCGCAGUGGGGGAAAGCCUGACGGAGCAACGCCGCGUGAGUGAUGAAGGUCUUCGGAGCGUAAUACUCUGUUAUUAGGGAAGAACAGAUGUGGAAGGAAAUGUGCACAUCUUGACGGUACCUAAUCAGAAAGCCACGGCUAACUACGUG
RNAcentral lists this ribosomal RNA (497 nucleotides) under uncultured bacterium. RNAcentral's name for it is "partial 16S ribosomal RNA". It matches the Rfam family "Bacterial small subunit ribosomal RNA", at positions 28 to 507 of the family's 1533-position model. The record is from RNAcentral.